This 1627-nucleotide long non-coding RNA is filed under the name Olea europaea (common olive). Its description in RNAcentral is "long non-coding RNA (OEUR_LNC006323)". The record is from RNAcentral. Lineage: Eukaryota; Viridiplantae; Streptophyta; Magnoliopsida; Lamiales; Oleaceae.
UUUCUUUUUGUUCUUUCCCCCGUAUGCAUAAUAUGGCCUUGCAUUUCAUCCAAAACUAUAGUGAGAAUAAAUAUAUGGUGGGCGAGCCUUCCUUUUUUAUCUGAGCAUAUUUGUUCUCACAUUUCACUUCUUUUUUUUUUUUUUUUGGGGGGGGGGCUGAUAAGCAUCUAAUGCUUUCAUUUAGCCCUAGCUUCUGAAGCUAGUUCUUCUUUUGUGUGGCUAGAGUAUGUUUGGCUAAGCUUAAAUAGUUAACUUUACAUAUAAAGUAAAUAGGUAAGUUAUAAAAUAAUAAAUGAGUUACUUAGCCUAUGUUUGGGCCCCAUUUUGUUGAAAAUGAGUUUUGUAAUAGUGAAUAUUUGGAGAUUGGUUAAAAAGUAGGAAAACAAUUUUGAUGUGCAAAAGAUUUUAUUGUGAGAAUGUAUGGUUGAAAUUUGAAAAUGAGUUUGGUAAAAAUUAGUUUUUAGAUAAUGGGGAACAAACAUGAGCGUAGUUUGACAGUAAUGUAAGUUAAGAAAGAAGUAAAAUAUCUAAACAUGUUUAGAAUCACAAAGUAUGCUAACUACAAAUUUACUCGGAACGAGGCUUUAGUUUGUUGUGUCGUUUGGAAACAAAAAGUUACUAAACAUGCUGGUUUUUGCCUUGUAUAGGCUAAACGGAGGAGCUCAACUUGGUGGAUAAGGUUUUUCAUUCGAACCGGCUUCCAUGAAAAUGAAUCUGCUGCCAAGAAAUUCGAGCAGGCAGCAGCCAAGAAUUCCUAUGAGUCGACCUGCCAAGUUUUUCACCUCAAACCUUCGCACUGAGAGAGGGCAUCCUUCGUGAAGAUGGUGCUGAGAAGGAUCUUUAGUUUUUAUUGAAUAUUUGGAGAUUGGUUAAAAAGUAGGAAAACAAUUUUGAUGUGCAAAAGAUUUUAUUGUGAGAAUGUGUGGUUGAAAUUUGAAAAUGAGUUUGGUAAAAAUUAGUUUUUAGAUAAUGGGGAACAAACAUGAGCGUAGUUUGACAGUAAUGUAAGUUAAGAAAGAAGUAAAAUAUCUAAACAUGUUUAGAAUCACAAAGUAUGCUAACUACAAAUUUACUCGGAACGAGGCUUUAGUUUGUUGUGUCGUUUGGAAACAAAAAGUUACUAAACAUGCUGGUUUUUGCCUUGUAUAGGCUAAACGGAGGAGCUCAACUUGGUGGAUAAGGUUUUUCAUUCGAACCGGCUUCCAUGAAAAUGAAUCUGCUGCCAAGAAAUUCGAGCAGGCAGCAGCCAAGAAUUCCUAUGAGUCGACCUGCCAAGUUUUUCACCUCAAACCUUCGCACUGAGAGAGGGCAUCCUUCGUGAAGAUGGUGCUGAGAAGGAUCUUUAGUUUUUAUAAUGAUAAAUUAUAUUCAUAAAAUUGGGUUACCACCUUAUUUGAUAUUUCAUUAUGACAGAAGAAUUGGUUGAUUAAAAGCUUUGUUGGUUGUAAGCAAGCAUCCACAGAAUUAUACCAUUAUGCCAAAUUAGGCAUUGGAAGUGAAAUGGACCAUUCUCUAGGGAAUGUUCAUAUUAACUGUAUUUUUUUCCUCAUAAUUGUAAAAGAAAACUAAUUUAUUAUUAUAUAUAUCUUGGAAUCCUCAUAUUUCUAUUUGUGGUCCAAGCCUCACU